Molecule: long non-coding RNA, 3910 nt
Organism: Syngnathoides biaculeatus (alligator pipefish)
Lineage: Eukaryota; Metazoa; Chordata; Actinopteri; Syngnathiformes; Syngnathidae
Exons: 4
Source: RefSeq, a predicted model, not a curated record
UCAAGACAUUUGACGGAAAAUAGUCAUUAGCUGAAUUUGGAGCAUUUAGGUGGUCAUAUUUGCUGAAAUUUGAAGCUAUAGCAAUAAAAAAAGAUCAUAAGUCAAGUUACAAAGUGAACUAGGACCCCUUGUUUGAUUAUAGCCUCAUUCUCAUAAAAUGUGACGUUUCAGAGAGUGCUUGAAAUUAUUUUGAGAUAGUGCACGAAAUGUGCCAAAAAGAAGGCACGAGCUCAAGUUUGGAAAAAAACAACACACACUUUUUGCGAUUUAUCUGAGAUUGGCUGGAGGGAGUGGAGGGUGGGGGGCAGCCCAGGAUGUAUGUUGCCUCUUGCCCAAGGUUCCAGCUCACCUGUGACCAGAAUGAGGAGAAGCAGUAGAGAAGCUCGAUAAAAAGAUGCAUAUCAUUUUCUCAAAUACAAUGCAAUGUAUACCAACACUCACAGGUUCAAUCUAAUCUGAUAAUUCAAGUCCAAUAAACAAUACUUUGUGUGCUGUUUAUAAAGCAGUCAGUCUCCUUGCAGACAUGAACAACCAAGUGUCGCAUACUAUUAGUGACAUUCAAACCGAAGUUAGGCCACCACAGUUCUUUUUUUCUUAAGAAUUGUCUGUUAAGAGCAGAUAAAGGUUUGAGGGAUGUUAUCAUUUUUGGCCUGCAAGCCUGUGGUGUAAUUGGCUCCAUGUGAGGAACCAAAGGUCAUUUCUGACCCCAGCAAUAUCGGCAAUCAACCUCUCCCUUUCUUUCGUUACAAGGUAUUGAUGCACAUGAGGAGUGGAAAGAAAAAGUAGCUCGUUCAAAUAAAACGUAAAGAAAUGUCACCAGAGACAAAUGCUACUGUUCAUGAAACUUUUUUAAAAACGAUGGAAUAACCUAUAUAACAUAUUUGCAUCCAAAUCUUUUUUUUUUUUUUUUCUGGUGUUGAUUCUCUGAUAAAUACAACGUGGUUGUUAGAUCCCAGAUGUCAGAAUUUCUCACAGCAUGUGAAUGUGCAACGUCUGUCAUCACACAUGCUAUUCAUAACUAUGCAAAUAAAAAAUCUAUGUUAAAAUGUGGCCAUAACCGUCUGAAAACACACGAUGCAACCAACAAACUACUAGUCACAUAAUGCCUUAUAUUAUUUUGUAUAUUUCAGGAACAUAUCUGCCUCUCCACUUUUGUCAUGUUGUCUCGGCUGAUAUCCCUCAGCAGCAGUGGUCCCCAGUUGUCAUGGCACCAGUCUUAAAUAACAGUCUUGUUCUCUCGUUCUCUCAUUAUUCUGCCGCAACCAAACCGUUCACUUUUAAAAUGGACUCCCACACUGAAUGCACUCUGACUUUCUAUUUGACAAAGUUGACGGAGGGAAGAAAAUGUUGUUUUUUUAUUAUUAUAUGCCCUUUCAAGAAUGACUCAUUGCAGAUAUUUAGAGAUGAUGUGAAAGAGUACCUGGAAAUGAGAACAAAAUUACCUGAAAUCCUUUGAGAAUACUUAUCUGUUUGUAUUGGUGGCCUGUGAUUGACUGGCAAAUAGUCCAGGGUGUAGCGUGCCUUUAGUCCAAAACCAGCUGGGAUGAGAUCCAGAACAGGGAUAUCCUCCAGGAACAGAUUAAAUGGUAUAGAAAAUAGAUGGAUGAAAAUGGUCUACUGACCGUUGUAGGCCGGGAUAGGCUCCAGCAUUCCCACAAGCCCCUUGUGAGGAUAAGCAGCUCAGAAAAUGGAUGGAUGGAUGUAAUUAAAAGUACAGCACAUCCAAGACAAAUUAUAACUUGUCAAAAAAACUGUUUAUACAAAACCCAACAUUCUGAACAGACUACCAAAAAAUAACAAUGAAAAAAAUGAACAGUUAACAAAUCAUUCUUGGAAAUGAAAUUAGAAAUCUUGCUUUUCCAAAUGUGUUGCUUCAUUGUCAUCAUUGCCUCCUAGUUCACGUUCGCCCAUGUUGAUGGUGUCCCUGUUUGGCCCACCUUUUAAUUACUGGAUGAAUGAAUGAAUGAAUUAAUUAAUCAAUCAAUCAAUGGAUCAAUCGAUCAAGCAGUUAAAUAGAUUGGGUGGGAAAACUGCUAAUGCCUGAAAUUCCAGGGUCUGAGCCAGCACAGAUUAUGACAGGUAUGCAUGUGAGUAAAUCUGUGCCGUUAGAUUUUGAAUCUGAAUUACGAACAAAGAAUUUGCAAUUGUUACACGACUAUGAUAUUUUCAACGGGGGAACUUGUAAAUGGAACCAACUGCAUUUCUAAAGUAACCUUCCUACACUGUUUAAAUAUAAUAUAUAGCACACUCUGCCAAAAAAAUACACCAGUCACCGAUGCUACCCAACGCUGUGUGCGAGGUGAAUGCAGUUAUACCCAAAGUUCCUUGAUGUUGGGGUACAUUUAAGUACAACCACAGAGUAUUAAACAGAGUGUGAUUGCACUUUAUUUUACCUUCAGAACUGAGAAAUAAAUGUGGUUUUGAACCGAGUCCUGAUGAUGCACAGAUGACUCAAGAGGUUAAUUCGAUCCAAAGGAAUUAUUCAGUCCACAUGUUUCAUCUUGUUUCAUUUUUAAAUUGAUGCUUCUGGGAGUGUGAUGAAAACAUAGCACUCAGUUGGGUCAAACGUCUCUGUUUAGAGACUGGGGGCAAGUUUGAUUGUAUGUGAGAAGUGGAGGAGAUGGAAACACUACAGCAAGAGUGUGAGACACUUCACUUUUAUGCCAUUAGGUUUAAAAACAGCGAGCGUCACUAUUGAUCUGAGGAAAAAUAUUGUAGAAGCAGCAGGAAAGUGACAUUUCAAAUGUCACAUUCUUUUAGGUGUACUGCUGUGAUGCUGAGCGAGUACUCAGGUUCGCCCUCUAAGUCAUUGCAUUGUCUUGCCUCUUGGACCCCACUCAUUCACAGCUGGUCACACGCUCUGGUUUUCCACUUCUCCAACUGGAGGUUCUUUAUGUUUCACUUUUUUAGCACUUACUGUUCAAUACUCCAUGCGCUUUCUCCAAAGGCCACAGUAGGCUGGAGGGCCCUCUCUUUUGAUGGGCUGUAUCAAUAUGGAGCAAUUUGAACAAAACAUUUAAUGGCAAGCUUUGUGGAGUUGAAAUGCCAUGCCAUCCAUCCAUUAUCUACCGCAUAUCCUAUUCAGGGUCACAGGUGAACAAAAGCCAUGCAAGGCAACUUUGGGUGGGAGGCAGGACUGGUCGCAGUCAGUCACUCAAUCAUACUGCACAGAUACACACAGAUAUGCGCAUUAUGCACAGUAUAUAAAACAGGAUGUAGUCACAAUAACAUCAAUCGUCAAUGUCUGAUUUCAGUGUAUUUGUAGUUAGUUUUUUCAAUUGUUGUUUUUCUUUUUUUAUUUUUUUUUUCAAAUAGUUCCAUCCAUGUGCAAAGAAUGUGAGCUGCAGCAAUACAGAAAGAGUCACCUUAUCACAAUGAGCUCUCCCCAAUGGGCAACAUGCACUUUCACAGAGAAUCCAUGACAUCUUUAGGAUUAACAUGAUGAUAGGCACGGCAUUUGCAAGGAGUACCCAUGUCCUUGGGCUAAAGCAUGAUACCAGCUAAGAAAAUCAAAAGAAAUUGGCCAGGAAAUCCUCAUCCUUGAGUGCAAUUUCCAGAUGCUUGAAGGUGCCACGUUCAUCAAAAAUUCUAUGGAGGUAUAAACAUGAUGGGGAAGGAUGUCCAGCCAUCACACCAUUGAGGAAGGCGAUGGGCUCUGUGACCCAGAAAUGAACGUCAACCCCGGAACAAAAGUGAAAGACCUUGUGAAUAUGCUGGAUGAAACUGAAUGGCAAGAAAAGAAGAUUGAUCAGGCAAAAAGUGAGCGGGACAGUACACCAAUCAUCAACCAGUGCCCCUUACUUGAGGGCAUCAUUAAAAACAAAGUUGGACAAACCAGAUGCAGUGAGUAGAACCUCCAUUUUUAAAUGGGAAGCAACAUCAGCUGUCACAGUUUUUCCCACAUUCCUGA